GAUGAACGCUGGCGGCGUGCCUAAUACAUGCAAGUCGAGCGAACGGACGAGAAGCUUGCUUCUCUGAUGUUAGCGGCGGACGGGUGAGUAACACGUGGAUAACCUACCUAUAAGACUGGGAUAACUUCGGGAAACCGGAGCUAAUACCGGAUAAUAUUUUGAACCGCAUGGUUCAAAAGUGAAAGACGGUCUUGCUGUCACUUAUAGAUGGAUCCGCGCUGCAUUAGCUAGUUGGUAAGGUAACGGCUUACCAAGGCAACGAUGCAUAGCCGACCUGAGAGGGGGAUCGGCCACACUGAAACUGAGACACGGUCCAGACUCCUACGGGAGGCAGCAGUAGGGAAUCUUCCGCAAUGGGCGAAAGCCUGACGAAGCAACGCCGCGUGGGUGAUGAAGGUCUUCGGAUCGUAAAACUCUGUUAUUAGGGAAGAACAUAUGUGUAAGUAACUGUGCACAUCUGGACGGUACCUAAUCAGAAGGCCACGGCAAACUACGU
This 496-nucleotide ribosomal RNA is filed under the name uncultured bacterium. RNAcentral describes it as "partial 16S ribosomal RNA". It matches the Rfam family "Bacterial small subunit ribosomal RNA", at positions 28 to 506 of the family's 1533-position model. The record is from RNAcentral.